RNAcentral lists this ribosomal RNA (253 nucleotides) under uncultured bacterium. RNAcentral describes it as "partial 16S ribosomal RNA". It matches the Rfam family "Bacterial small subunit ribosomal RNA", at positions 80 to 334 of the family's 1533-position model. The record is from RNAcentral.
CUUCUUUGCUGGCGACCGGCGCACGGGUGAGUAACACGUAUCCAACCUGCCCUUUACUCGGGGAUAGCCUUUCGAAAGAAAGAUUAAUACCCGAUAGCAUAAUGAUUCCGCAUGGUUUCAUUAUUAAAGGAUUCCGGUAAAGGAUGGGGAUGCGUUCCAUUAGGUUGUUGGUGGGGUAACGGCCCACCAAGCCUUCGAUGGAUAGGGGUUCUGAGAGGAAGGUCCCCCACAUUGGAACUGAGACACGGUCCAA